GACGAACGCUGGCGGCGUGCUUAACACAUGCAAGUCGAACGGAAAGGCCCUGCUUUUGUGGGGUGCUCGAGUGGCGAACGGGUGAGUAACACGUGAGUAACCUGCCCUUGACUAUGGGAUAACUUCAGGAAACUGGGGCUAAUACCGGAUAGGAGCUCCUGCUGCAUGGUGGGGGUUGGAAAGUUUCGGCGGUGGGGGAUGGACCCGCGGCUUAUCAGCUUGCUGGUGGGGUAGUGGCUUACCAAGGCUUUGACGGGUAGCCGGCCGGAGAGGGUGACCGGCCACAGUGGGACUGAGAUGCGGCCCAGACUCCUACUGGAGGGAGCAGUGGGAAAUAUUGCACAAUGGGCGGAGGCCUGAUGCAGCAGCGCCGCGUGCGGGAUGACGGCCUUCGGGUUGUAAACCGCAUUCGCCUGUGACGAAGCGAGAGUGACGGUAAUGGGUAAAGAAGCACCGGCUAACUACGUG
Molecule: ribosomal RNA, 468 nt
Filed under: uncultured bacterium
Lineage: Bacteria
Description: partial 16S ribosomal RNA
Rfam family: Bacterial small subunit ribosomal RNA
Source: RNAcentral